GACGAACGCUGGCGGCGUGCCUAACACAUGCAAGUCUACGAGAAUGAGGUAGCAAUAUCUCUAGUAAAGUGGCGCAAGGGUGAGUAAUAUGUAAGUAAUUUACCCAUGGGAUCGGAAUAACGUCGAGAAAUCGGCGCUAAUACUGAAUAAUGCAGCGGCAUCACAUGGUGAUGUUGUUAAAGUUGCAGCAAUGUAACGCCUAUGGAUAAGCUUGCAGCUGAUUAGCUAGUUGGUAGUGUAACGGACUACCAAGGCUACGAUCAGUAGCUGGUCUGAGAGGAUGAUCAGCCACACUGGAACUGAGACACGGUCCAGACUCCUACGGGUGGCAG
Molecule: ribosomal RNA, 332 nt
Filed under: uncultured Chlorobiota bacterium
Lineage: Bacteria; Pseudomonadati; Chlorobiota
Description: bacterial SSU rRNA
Rfam family: Bacterial small subunit ribosomal RNA
Source: RNAcentral